RNAcentral lists this ribosomal RNA (1767 nucleotides) under Triticum aestivum (bread wheat). RNAcentral describes it as "partial small subunit ribosomal RNA". Lineage: Eukaryota; Viridiplantae; Streptophyta; Magnoliopsida; Poales; Poaceae. The record is from RNAcentral.
AUGGCAGACUUCGCGCUUGGGUUAGCCAAGACGGCGGUGGAGGGGACCCUGAGCAGGGUCCAAUCCGCGAUCGAUGAAGAGAACACGCUGCAGGCGGCGGCGCAGCAAGACCUGGUAUUCAUCACUGGGGAAUUCCAGAUGAUGCAGUCCUUUUUGAAAGUCGCCAGCAAGGAGCGUGUUGGAAAUGAAGUGGUGAAGACCUGGGUGCGGCAGCUCCGUGACCUGGCCUUCGAUGUUGAAGACUGCGUCGAGUUCGUUAUCCACCUGGAUAAUGACUCGACCUGGAACUGGGUGUGGCGCAUGGUACCAUCCUGCAUGGCACCACCUCGGAGUCGUGACCUCGACGACGCGGUGACUGAGUUGAAGCAACUCAAGGCCAGGGUCGAGGAGGUGAGCCAGAGGAACACCCGCUACAAUCUCAUCAGCGACUCCGGCUCCAAUCACGUCUCACAGCCACCGGCGGUGCAGCUGGCCACCACCAGCCCAUCAACAAUGGACAUUCUGAUGGAGCUAUGGGAGGCCAAUGGGAAGCACCGUGGUGUUUGCAACCUACAAAAGUUAAUAACCAACGAGGGCAAUGACCUUCAGGUAAUAUCUUUGUGGGGAAGUGAAGUAUCUGAUAUUGAGGUGGCGCAGAUUAUCAAAAAGGCUUAUUGCAACCCCGAAAUCUGCCACAUAUUCAGAAGUCGUGCCUGGGUAAAGCUGAUGCAUCCAUUUAACGCAGACAAGUUUCGCAAGAACUUGCAGACUCAGUUACAAGCCAGCUCUCCGUCUUGCACAGCUGUCGAUUUCAAUGGCAAGAUUUCAAAAGAAGAUCUGAUGAAGCGGUUGACUCGGCAGAGAUAUCUGGUCAUCCUUGAAGGAAUAUCCAGUGUUGUGGAAUGGGAUAUCAUCAGAACGUACCUGCCAGACAAUAAGAAUGGCAGCCGGAUCGUUGUGUCCACGAAGCAGCUAGGGGAUGCAAUUUAUUUCACGGGGGGGCAAUACCGAGUAUCAGUGCUCAGAGAGUUCAUUGGUGGUCAUUAUCUUUGUGCAUUUUUUAAGAAGGGUUCAGGGCGUCGAAAUUUCAUGGGCAACCUUAUUGGGCUACUAAGUCGUCCUGGUGUGAUCUCUGUUUGGGGGGCUGGUGAUGACAAAUCAACUCUUGUCAAAGAACUGUUCGACUUCAUACCGAAUGGGAAUGAAAAAAUAUUAAACUCUCAAGCGGCAGAAGGUAUGUUCUACGUAUGGGUUGAUGUGGCCCAUCGAUUCAUUUUGGAGGACUUUUUCCUGAGCUUGUUGCGGUCGUUCUGUAAGGAUGAUACCGAAUCUAACAAGUAUGCGGAGGCAGAGUCACAUCUUCAUUGGGUUAUUUAUGAUAAAAAAAUCCGCCAGUGCCUGGUAGUUAUUAACGGUCUUCAGUCCACCAAGGAGUGGCAGUUGAUAAAAAGUGCAUUAGAAAAUAUGCAUAUUAAUAUUUAUAUCAUUGUCAUAACGAAUCAUGAAAGUGUGGCCACAAGCUGUGUAGCUAAUGGGAAUCGUGUGCUCAACGUCAACAACCUGGCCCUUCGUCCUUCCAUGCAGAUCCAUGACUAUAUGGACGAACUGUUUUGGCGACUACGACAUCGUAGAGUGAUUUCUGUGUGUGGGGCUGGAGGUGACACAUCAACUGUUGGGUUUAGUCCCACAUCGGUUGUGGGGGGAGACAUAACACGAUUUAUAAGGGUAGGGGUGUCCCCUCCUAACAGGCUAGUCUUUUGGGGGGAGAGGGCCCAAGGCCUGUCAUAA